GGGGAGAGGACUGGCCCAGGCGGUCCAGCGGGGGAGAGAGGGUGGGUGGGCAGUGCCCCUCAGGCGGAGAGGGCAGUGGUGUUACUGCACACGUCAGCCCCUUCCCGCCCGGCACGCGGGGAUGCCCACCACCCUCAUGAUCCCUAUUUUACACAUGAGGGAGCCAAAGGCUAUACCAGCCCAGAAGAAGGAACUUCCUCGUAUGGGAAUAAACCCAUGCAGACAGUACAGGGUCAGAGCUGGGGUUUCACCCAAGUCCCGUGGUCUAGGUCAGCACCACACCCAAGAAAACAGUUCUGAGAGGGGCUGGGAGGGAGGGAGACUGCGCAAGAAUGGGUAUUAGGGUCUCGGAAGAAGGUCAUGAGUGGUCAACAGGCUCGGGAGACUCUGGCAUGGUGUUGAAAGGCCACACUAAGCCAACGUGGAGGACAGACUGGGUGGAGACGAGAGUCUCAGCCAAGGGCUGGGGUCCCAGUCCCCUCCCAGGCCCUUCUCAGAACCACACCUUACACUUGUUACACUCGUUCACACAGUGGUCACACACAGUGUCCAUCUGAAGGGAGGGGCUGCCUGACGUGGGCCUCUCAUCCCAGGAUAUGACCCAGGGAUGAACUGCCCAAAUUUCCCUGGGAGUCGCCAUCCCCGCUAUGCUUGCAAUCCCCACCCUGACGUCUAGGUGGCGCCAGAAUCUCACACUGAUUCCUCCCAGGUUGGGCGCCAACCACGCCCAGUGAAGGUUGUUUCAACUCGGUCCCUGCAGACUCCAGGAAGAAGUAGGCGCGUCAGCUCUUGCCCUCCCAUCUCAGCCUCAGGGACAUCCGGAGCAAGUACUGCAUCUGUUCUUUUCAAAUGUAAAAAAUAAUUGUACUGAAAAGAUAAUUUAACAUUAAGUUUAUUUUUAAAGUUUUUAAAAUUAUCAAAGUAAUAUAUUGACAUGAUUCAACAUAAUAGGCUCCUGUUGGUUUUCUUCAGAUAAUUAAAAUAUUGUUACCAAUUCACCCCCUCGCCCAACACCACAGGCACACACGUUUACC
Bos taurus (domestic cattle) is the source of this 1034-nucleotide long non-coding RNA. The record is from Ensembl. Lineage: Eukaryota; Metazoa; Chordata; Mammalia; Artiodactyla; Bovidae.